GUGUCAGCCGCCGCGGUAAGACAGAGGGUGCAAACGUUGUUCGGAAUUACUGGGCGUAAAGCGCGUGUAGGCGGUCAUGCAAGUCGGGUGUGAAAGCCCGGGGCUCAACCCCGGAAGUGCAUUCGAUACUGCGUGGCUAGAGUACUGGAGAGGAUGGUGGAACUCUCGGUGUAGAGGUGAAAUUCGUAGAUAUCGAGAAGAACACCGGUGGCGAAGGCGGCCAUCUGGACAGAUACUGACGCUGAGACGCGAAAGCGUGGGGAGCAAACAGGAUUAGAUACCCUGGUAGUCCACGCCGUAAACGAUGGGUGCUAGGUGUCACGGGUAUUGACCCCUGUGGUGCCGAAGCUAACGCAUUAAGCACCCCGCCUGGGAAGUACGGCCGCAAGGCUAAA
This 395-nucleotide ribosomal RNA is filed under the name uncultured bacterium. RNAcentral's name for it is "bacterial SSU rRNA". It matches the Rfam family "Bacterial small subunit ribosomal RNA", at positions 505 to 898 of the family's 1533-position model. The record is from RNAcentral.